GGUACUUUCCUGAUAGGUCCUUUCAUAGGACAUAUCGGAGGGCGUGCCUAUGCCUUGGGAAGCAUGCACGUCGCCCGCUAGGACUAUAUAAAGGGGGUCCAUCACCGACGGAGGUACGCAUUAUUCUUGAGUUUUACUGUUGCUAUUGUUGCUCCGUUUUUCUCCACAUUCCGAUGACUGACUUGAGCGUCGGAGGACCAACGCCGGGGACCCCUUCCCUAGCCCGAUACUGAUGUCAUUUGUUUUGCAGAGUGGAGCGAAGUCCACGUCCGAUCAGCAAAAUCGCCACCUCCCAGCUUUCCAACUUCACGUUUUCGGACAGGAUCAGUUAUUUUGUCGCAAGAGGACCUAGAGUUACUCAUAGAUACUAGAGCGCAAAAGUUGGUGCAACAACAGCAAGCAACAGCCGGAUAUCCUUUGUCAAACGACCCAGCUAUAUCUAUGACAGGCCCGCACACCGAGCGAGGGAUCGGAGUGGAAGGGCUGACUGUGUUCCCACUGAUUCCUCCUUCUCCGGUCGGCUUCAUGCAGGCGCUUGCACUACCGAUUAGCCUUCUGCCCGUGCCUCCAUCUCCGCUUGCAUAUCAUCGAGCAUUGUUUCACACGUCUUUCGAUGACAUGGGCCGAGCGGAGAGGCCCCAAGGAUCAUCUUCUGGAGAUGCACUCGUUAGGGAUAAUUGGAAGGGGAAAGCUCUAAUGGUCAGUAGCUCUCCUGAGUGGAUAAGUAUGUCGUUCUCCCUGAAAAUAUUGGAAGACAAAUUGCCGAGCCUUAGCAAUUGUGGAGUAUGGAGGAGUGACCGAUCCGGAGGACCAUCUGCUCAAGUUUAAAAAUGCAACUAUUCUCCACCAAUACAUGAAUGACGUCAAGUGUUGAGUGUUCCUAACUAUCCUCUCCGGCUUUACACAGUGAUGGUUUAACCGACUUUCAGCCGACUCCAUUUGUUACUUUAAGGAUUUCCGCAAGGCGUUUCUCCACCACUUCGCCAACAACCAACGGUACCACAAGACCACGGUUUAUUUUUCCUCUAGCAAGGACUCAAGGAAGUGCUCAGGACGUACAUUAAACUGUUUAAUCAAGUGGUUAUAGACAUCCCUUCGGUCACUCCAGAAAUUCUGGUGAGUGCUUUUUCCCAAGGGCUCAUAGAUGGGGACUUCUUCCGGUCCCUAAUCAAGAAGGCCCCUAGGGAUUUCUACUAUUUGCUAGAAAGGAUGACUAAGUACAUCAACGUGGAAGAGACUCAGUCCGCUCGGAAGGAGGUAGCUAUGCUUGCUCAUGUCUCUGCCUCCGAACGCCAAGUUCCUCUCCCUCCUCUUGCGCACAAAGGACCUCGAUCGGACCCCAGUCGUAUCCACACAAGCAUAGGCUAAACACGGUCUAGCAUGUGGAGGCCGAUCAGGUCUCGUUUGCCGAGCCCCGUCAAUGGGUCUAGCCAUUUUGUACUUACCACCGGACUGGAACCCAUAACACUCAAGAGUGUUAUAGGUACAAUUAGGGGAGGCACCGACCGUCCAACCAAGAGUUCCGAAUGUGAUUGCUAUCUCUAAACAACAGGCGUUAUCCACGGCCGAACGAACCACCUAGAAGAGACAUCCGAGAUGCCAACUGCCCCAACAAGUACCCUAAGAACGAGAAAAUAGUGCCCCGACCCCCACCAAAGUCAAGCUAAAGCGUUCCCCGACUCCACAAGAAGAAAAUUGUGGUGGGGGGACAUUGGUAUGAUAGCGGGCGGCUCGAUUGACGGUGAUUCCAACCGAGCCAGAAAGUCACACGCUUGCCGAUUGAAAAUUCAUGUAGACGGGUGUAGCUGAGAGCAGGCGCAUGGGCCAGAAAUUUGUUUUGAUCCCAAUGACUUAGAAGGGAUGGAAGUACCGCACGAUGAUGCCUUGAUCAUCAAGGCUAUUAUAGCUAAUUAUAAUAAAUAUCGUACCUUUGUGGAUAUAGGAAGCUCUAUCAACAUCAUAUUCAAGAAGGCGUUUGAUCAAAUUGUAGAUAGAGAAGUGUGAACUUCAACCUAUGACGACGCCCCUGUAUGGAUUCACCGACAACGAAGUGCAACCGAUCGGACAAAUCCAAUUGACUGUCUCUCUGGGGAGGAGCCCCUGAUGAGGAUCUGUCGAUCGACCAUCAUUGUGGCGGACACGCCCUCGGCCUACAACGUGAUUUUUGGUCGAUUGGCGCUGAAUAAGUUCCGAGUGAUCGUAUCCACCUUCUGCCAAAGAUUAAGUUCCUGGUCGACAACUUGGUGGGAGAGGUGAAAGGGGACCAACUGGUAGCAUGCAAGUGUUACGUGGAUACGAGCAAGACCGAAUCUUGCGCAGCUCUGAAGAUCCAGUGAGUGGAGGUUAAUGUCAUUCAACGCUAAUUUAUGAAGAGAAGGAGGAGGUACAGAUCCAUCCUAGUCGAUUAGAGACCACCACUCAAAUAGCGACCGACCUGACCCCAGAAUUCAAGGCUGAUCUAGUCGCAUGUCUAACCUGUAACAAUGAUAUGUUUGCCUGGACGCCUCAUGAAAUCACUGGUGUAUCACCAAGUGUUAUGGAAUACGUGCUCUAUGUCCUCCCGGGCGCUCGGCCUGUCAAGCAAAGAAAGAGAGAUUUUGAAGCCGAGCAGAACAAGAUCAUCUGAGCAGAGGUUGAUAAAUUGCUCAAGGCCGAACACAUUCGGGAGGUGCAGUUCCUAGGCUAAUUGGCCAACAUAGUCCUGGUAUCCAAACCCGAACUCGGGAACAAAUGGUACGUUUGCGUGGACUUUAGGGAUCUGAACAUAGCAUGCUCGAAAGAUUAUUAUCCCUUGCCCCACAUUAACCAAGUGGCGAACUCGACCUCCGACUGCGAGCUGAUAUGCAUGCUGGACGCGUAUUAGGGCCGCCAUCAAGUCCCAUUAGCUAAGGAGGACCAGGGGAAGGUUAGUUUCAUAACUAUCGAACGAACCUACUGAUAUAAUGUUAUACUGUUUAGGCUAAAGAAUGCAGGGACUACAUACUAACUACUUAUGAACAAAGUGUUUCGGAAGUAGAUCAGACGAAACAUGGAGGUGUACGUUGAUGACAUACUGAUCAAGUCUCACAGAGUAGAUGACCUAUUUAUAGACAUUGACGAAACUUGCCAACAUUAAGGGAGUAUGGGCGCAAGUUCAACCCCAACAAAUGCUUGUUCGGAGCCAAGAGUGUUUCCUUGGCUACAUAGUGAUAGAACAGGGGAUCGAAGCGAACCCAAACAAGGCACAAGCUAUCCAGGACAUGGCUCUCUCGCGGAAUUUGAAGGAGAUGUAACGGUUGACCGGACAGAUCAUGUCGUUGUCCCAUUUCAUUUUGAGAUUGUUCGAUUGGAGUCUACCCUUCUUCAAAAUACUCCGUCGAACUAUCAAGUUUCAAUGGGAUGUCGAGUGCGACCAAGCGCUGGAGGAAUUGAAAGAUUACUUGUUUGCCUUGCCUAUACUUGUUAAACCAAUAGUGGACGAGCCAUUGUGAGUGUACUUAUCCACCAUUGAAAGUGCAGUUGGGUCGGUGUUAGUACGACAGGAGGGCAAAGAACAACAACCAGUAUUUUUCUUAAGCCAUUUAUUAAAAGAUGUUGAAUGUCGCUAUACCGCUCUCGAGAAGUUAACAUAUGGGCUAAUUUUAGUCUCUUGGAGGUUACGUUCCUAUUUUCUCUCUCAUCCAAUCAUUGUAUUAACCAAUAACACCCUAGGUCGAGUGCUCAUCAACCCGGAAGCUUCGCGAAGAUUGAUCAAGUGAAUCAUAUAGCUCAGUAAAUAUGAUAUCAAGUAUCAACACCGAAUGACUAUCAAAGCCUAGGCCUUAGCCGAUUUUGUGACUGAAAUACAAAAUCUGGAACCAGAAGAAACUUGGAAAAUCUAUAUGGAUAGAUCAUCCACUCGGCAAGAUAGUGGGGUCAGAAUUCUUGCAGUUGUCCAUUCCACUGGAUUAUCGAGCAACUAAUAAUGAAGCGAAGUACAAAGCAUUAGUAGCCGGUUUGCAAGCCGCGAAGAAUGCCGAAAUCGCUCGAGUUCUAAUCUACUCAGAUUCCUAGUUGACGACUUAAUUGUCAGGCAACUUUGAGAUCAACAGGGAAUGACUAAGGUUGUACGCGGAGGCCUUUGAGAAAUUGAAAGUUGAAUUUCAAGAAGUGACCUUGUAGAAAGUUCCCCGAGCGAAAAAUCAGAAGGCCGAUGAGUUAGCCAAGUUAGCUGGCUCCUUAAUCCCUUAGAUUUUGGACAAGCCUGUGGAGUAAAUAUUGUUGAUAGCUCAUAUCGAACGGCAGACCAAGCUAGAAUUACAGAGCGACUAGAGAGCGUCGUUACUUUCGUUCCUUCAACAAGGAAAUUUACCUGCCGACCCGAAACAAGCGCGUAUGAUAAAGAAAAGGGUCGAUCAGCUCACAUUAGUUGGAGAUCACUUGUACAAGAGGGUUUUCUCUCGCCCUUUGCUCAGAUAUAUCGGGUCAGAUGAUGUGCAGUACAUUUUACAAGAGGUUCAUCAGGGUUCCUAUGGAAGCCACUCGGGAGUCUAGCCACUCAAAAGAUUUUGCUAGCCGAAUAUUUUUGGCCCACUCUACAAGUCGACUCGACUCGGCUGGUAGCCACUUGUUUAUCGGGUCAAAAGCACCAGAAUAUCCCGUAUCAUCCACAGAACUGCUGAAGACCUCAAUUGGGAUUGAUAUUAUAGGGUCCUUCCCUAUGGCAUCCGAUGACCAUUGAUUAUUUUUCUAAGUGGAUGGAAGCUGAGGAGUUGGUAAAAAUAACCGAGUGGAUAGUCAUCAAGUUCCUAUCGCAGAACAUCAUAUGCCUGUUCGGAAUUCUCUAUAAGCUUGUCUCAGAUAAUGGAAGGUCGUUCCAGGGUCGGAAAAUCCAGGAGUGGUGCUCAAGUUAUGACAUCUUGAGCUUUCACCUCCGUAACAUAUCCUCAAAGUAACGGUCAAACCGAAGUUGCCAACAGAGAAAUCAUCAGAGGACUCAAAACUAAGCUAGAUCAUGUUGGAGGAAGUUGGAUGGAUGAACUACCAAGUAUAUUGUGGGCCUAUCGCACUACUCCUCGAGAAGCCACAGGUAUAACCCCUUUUCAUCUGAUUUAUGGUGGAGAAGCAGUCGUUCCAGUGGAAGUCGUCUUGGAGUUCGAUCGGAGGCAACUGUAUGAUGAAGACAACCCCGGUCGACGCCUUAUGGAGCUCGAUCUGAUAGACGAGACUAAAGAUAAAGUCGUCGCUCAACUGGUAGUAUAUCGUCAGCGAAUGAAACAAAACUAUAAUCAAAGGGGCAUCCGAAGAUUCUUUCAAAUGGGAGAUCGGGUUUGGAAGCCGAUCAAGUCGGUCGGGGAUAUCAGCAAGUUGGAGUCACAAUGGGGUGAACCCUACAAUAUAGUGCAGAAGCUCACUUCUAGUUCCUACUAUCUUCAAGACGUUGAAGGGAAAAACUUGGAUCGGCCGUGCAAUGCAAAUCAUCUCCAGAGUUAUCGGGCCUAAGAAUACAUGUGUAAUGCGUUUAUAUAUCCUGUUGAAUAUUCACGCUUAAUGAAUGCAGGCAAACUCAUCUCAAGAGGUUCCAUUCUAAACUCUCGAACCUUAGCGUCGAGUUAUAAGCGGAUUUUCCCGUGUCCUUUGACCAUCCGGUCAGAGGUUUAAUUUCAGAUUCUUGAGCUUGGUUGCCAAAUUAUAAGCGGAUUUCCCUGUGCCCUUCGAUCAUCCGAUCGGAGGUUUAAUUUUAGACUCUUGGGCCUGGGUGCCGAGUUGUAAGCGGGUUUCCCCGUGCCUUUCAAUCAUCCGGUUAGACGUUUAAUUUCAAACUCGUGCCUUGAUGCCGAGCAGGUUUCCUUAUGCCCUUCGAUCAUCCGGUUGGAGGUUUAAUUCCAGACUCUUGGACCGGGUGCCGAGUUAUAAGAGGGUUUCCCCAUACCCCUCGACCAUCCGAUUAGAGGUUUAAUUCCAAACUCUUGGACCUGGGUGCUAAGUUGUAAGCGGGUUUCCCUGUGCCCUUCGACCAUCCAGUCAGAGGUUUAAUUCCAGACUCUUGGGCAUGAGUGCCAAGUUAUAAGCGAGUUUCACCGUGCCCUUCUACCAUCUGGUCGGAGGUUUAAUUCUAGACUCUUGAGCUUUAGUGCCGAGUUAUAAAUGGAUUUCCUCGUGCCUUUCGACCAUCCAGAAGUUUAAUUCUAGACUAUUGGGCCUGUGUGUCAAGUUAUAAACGGGUUUCCCCAUGCCCUUCGACCAUCCGGUCGGAGGUUUAAUUCCAGACUCUCUAGCCUUAGCGUCAAGUUAUAAGUGGAUUUCCCCCUGCUCUUCGACCAUCCGAUCAUAGGUUUAAUUCCAGACUCCCGAGCCUUAGCGUCGAGUUACAAGCGAGUUUCCUCGUGCCCUUCGAUCAUCCGAUCGGAGGUUUAAUUCCAGACUCUCGAGUCUUAGCGUCAAGUUAUAAGCGAGUUUUCCCGUGCCCUUCGACCAUCUGGUCGGAGGUUUAAUUCCAGAGUCUUGGGCCUAGGUGCUAGUUAUAAACGAGUUUCCCCGUUCCCUUCGAUCAUCUGAUCAGAGGUUUAAUUCCAGAUUCUUGAGUAUUAGCACCGAGUUAUAGGCGGGUUUCCCCAUGUCCUUCGACCAUUCGGUCGGAGAUUUAAUUCCAGAUUCUAGAACCUCAACGUCGAGUUAUAAGCAAGUUUCCUCAUGCCCUUCGACCAUCCGAUUAGAGGUUUAAUUCCAGACUCUCGAGCCUUAACGUCGAGUUAUAAGCGGGUUUCUUUGUGUCCUUCGACCAUCCGGUCGGAGCUUUAAUUCCAGAUUAUCGAGCCUCAACGUCGAGUUAUAAGCGGGUUUCCCUGUGCCCUUUGACCAUCCGGUCGGAAGUUUAAUUUCAGACUCUUCAGUCUUAGCGUCAAGUUAUAAGCGAGUUUCUCUGUGCCGCUUACUUAACGUCAAGUAACGUUUCCCAACUCUUGCAACUUAACGUCAAGUCAUGGGUGGGGUCCUCCGUACAUUUAUUGAGAAAUCAUUUAGCCGCUUACUCGACACGAUUCAGCUGCUCGCUCGGUAUCAUUUAGCCGCUCGCUCGGCACUAUUCAGUCACUCGCUCGACAUAAUUCAGCCGCUCACUCAGCACUAUUCAGCCACUCGCUCAAUACCAUUCAAUCGCUCUCUCAACGCGAUUCAACCACUCGCUCGGUAUCAUUCAACCGCUCGCUCGACACGAUUCAGCCUCUCUCUCAGCACCACUCAGUCGAUGGACUGGACUAAUUGAUUAAGGACGAAAUCUCAAGGGUUAUUUAUUUAUUGUUCACUUGGUCGAUAUUGCAUCAAUAAGCCUCUAGUAAGGUCAUGAAGAGAAGGUGAGCGGAUAGUCACAUUACCAAGGGUUGCGCAUACCUGCUAAAGCGAAAGGUUUCCGAUCAAUCGGGGUGAUGCUUAGUCGUGCGACAUUUGUUUAAGCAUUACUCGCACAAAUUUGUGCGCAUAAAUUAACUCGAUGCUAAGGAAAAGAUGCACGACAUAACACCAAGGAAAAAUGGCAAAGGCUAAACAAUAGUAGAAGAAUAUAUACAGUAAAGUAGCACAAGUUCUUACGCAUUUACAAGGCUAAGGGGAAGAAACCCCGAAGGAAAAAGUUCUCAUAAGAAUACUAAGCGAAGUCUGGGAAAGCAUCAUUUGAAAUAUCCUCUAAAAUCUUUGGCGGCGAAUGAAAUUCUUGGGGAUGUCUGCUGUCAAAUAGCUAGCUUACCAACAUUGCUUUAUGGCUCCUUCCACACCAUAGCCAAACAUCUUUGAGGUACGUUAGCUGAGCUUCAUAUUGAACUCCCGAGAGCGCAAGUAAUCCACUCUGUAAGCUUCUAGCCGCUUGGGCUCCCCCACCUUGCAAUUUGCCAGCUCAGAUUUUUCCCUCUAGCUCGAUGUCCUUGGAAUCCAGGGUGCGUUGUUUCUCUUCAAGCUAAAGGUCCUUGACAGUCAGUUUGGCCUCUUUGUUGGCUAGCUCGCAGGUAAGUGUGGACUAUGCUUCUUUUAGCUUCUUGGCAAGGGCUUGGGCUUCAAUGUUCUUCAAGUCCAGGUCGGAUAUGACCCUUAGUUUCCGAGUGAUCUCCGAUCAGAGGCGGGAUUCGGAAGUCUGUAGUUGUUUCUGGAGCUUCUCAAUUUGGCCCGCCUGGCUGAGUCCUGUAUCCUUCUGUUCAGUAAGGGCCCACUCGGCUCUUAGCAGCAGACUUGACUCUCUAGCUCUUUCUUUAGGCGAGCCACUUCAACUUGGAGUCGCUCAUAGGAACCCUAAGAAGUUCCUGCUCCUCCCAUCGAGCCCUUAAGGGUCCGGUAAUUAUGACUUAGCUCCGCCAUCUAGUCAACCAGAACUGACAAAGUAAAGGAUAAAUUAAAGUUAACACCACAAAAAAAGGGUAUAUGACAGUGGAGAAAGUUUACCCCUGUGACAUCUUGGGAGAAGCGAUCGAUCAACUUCUCUGGGGAGCACUCGGAUGUGUGCGCCCGGGAGUCCGCCCAAGUCUAAGCCAGCGAGCCUUGUAUUUUUAUCAAGUGCUAAGGGGGGGAGUGGCACGGAGGGGUUUGUGCAAAGUCACUCAUGAGAAGGCAGCCUGAGUGUGGCGUUGACUUUCCUGGGCCCGGACCCUUAUGAGCUAGACUUAGACUUUGAUUUGGGUGUCGAGUAUAUUUUAGAGUGGGGCCUUGUUGGUUCGGUCGGCGAAGGAGAUAAAAAGGAAAUUGGCAGCGCAUGAUUCGCUCCGAUCGGCGGUGCGGGGUCUGGUGGUGUCCGCUCAGAUGAAACAGGAAUUAGACGGUGGGCUCCGAGUUCAGGAGGAAUUGACAAUGAACUCUCUCCCUGCUCGGACAAUGGACGAGGUGCCAACGCUUCGGUGGAAUUUUGUUGCAUGUUUGUAGCUGAGCGACAUCUCUUGAGACGUUGACGUUGAAGCAGGGGCUCGUCAUAGGCGGUGGACUAAGAGGAAACCUCUAUGGCCAUCACAGAAGGACGAGGGGGGAGGGUGCAAUUCCUCAGUAUUAGCAGCCACGUCACUCCCCGAGAGUUGGCUAGCGCCCUCCUCGCCGGCUGACUCCUCGGUUGAGCUGAUCGACCAAAGCCUAUGGCUUGCCAGCUCAGCCUCACCGUGUUCGUCUAUUGCUUCGUCGUCUAGCUUGGUGGAAUCCCCUAGGCAGGCUUCCACAUGGUUUUGACUGCCAAAUAGAAAAAAAUCAGUUAGAUACAACAAUAGAGGGAGGUUGAAUUUCUCACCAAAGUUGUUGGGCAUCCUAGUUUGGAUGAGACUGAGUCCGAAGAUAUACAAAACAUCCUCCAAGAACAGCUGGUGAAUGUUGAACUUUCAGUUGGACAGCUGACUGAGGCAGUGAGGUAGGUCGGCUCCCAGUGGAAUCCGUUUAGCUCGGGAGAAUGAGACAAUUUCAUUUGCCAACCUGUCGGGAAGGAUACUAGAGGGACUGACUGGAAGUAAAAGUAAUGAGACUUCCAACCUUUGUUGGAAGUGGACAUUUUAUCGAAGAAAACAGCACCCAUUCGGGCUUGGAGAAUAAUAACAUUCUGCUCAGAUUUUUUGGGAUAAUAAAAAUAAUGGAAGACUCGGGGGUGUAGGGGAACUCGGUACAAACGAAAGAGGAUGAUGACUCCACACAAAAACCUAAUAGAGUUGGUGGCUAACUACUAGAGCUGAAUGUGUACAUUGGUGGCUAACUGCUGGAGCGGAAUGUGGAAAUAUGUACAGACUUCCGAGAAAAAGGGAUGUAGUGGGAAACGAAGGUCGGCCAGAAAUUGAUCCUUAAAGAAGGUUAUGUAGCCGGCAAGGGGAGGAUGAGGACGAUAGUGGCCGGAGGGUAUGAUAUGGUGGUUGUGGGGGAGAUUAUAAGUCACAUUUAAUCCACUUCCCCGCCGUUGAAGUCAGAGGCGAUGGAAGUGUACCAGAGAUUGUGGACGACGAUGGGAGGAGCAGUGGCCAUGAGGAGCAGGAAAAGUGAACGAAAAAGGGAUGAAAAACGAACUUACGGCGAAAAGAUGAAACCUAAAAAAUUGUUUGCAGUAGCGAAGGAAGUUGAAGAAGUCGAGGAAGAAGGCGAAGAUGAGAAUAAGAAAACGAUAGAAGUUGUAUCAAAGGUUGUAAACCUUAAAAACCCUAGCAGUGCCCCACUACAACCGUUUGAUCAUGGGAGCAAAGGAGAGAGGAUUAAUCAACGCCGUCGAAUUUGAACCGCUAGAGGUCACAUCAAAUUUCAACAGUAACCUGCUGUUUUAGAUAUUCUUUUCAUAGGCGUGCGCCACAUGGUAGAAAGAUACAGGCCGCAUUUUUUAGGGAUGAGAGGCAGUAAGCAUGCUUAUGCUCAUCAUACUAAGCAUUAAUGGUGAAUGACGUGUCCUGUUUUCAAAGGACAAGUAUGACGUCAACUCGAGUCGAGUGACGGAUCAGGGACUGAGCAUCCGAUCGGAACAUGAGAAACACAAAAAGACACAAGUGUCUAGUCAGUCGGACUUGCAGCCUCCAACAACUAGAUUUGAAGGGGAGACUUGUGAUAUAAAGAAUAGGGUAAGGUCCCCGAAGUGGGGUCAAAGUCAAUAAGGUCGGCUGAUAUGGAUGUCAAGGUUAUGGAGGUGUUAACACUCGGGAUUAGUACGGUAGCACGACUCGAUUGAGUGGUCCUGCCGAUCGGAUUGCGAGUCCCCCCAACUUGAUGAAACCCUAAGACAACCGAAUCCAUAAGGUGAUCAACAUUCCUUAGUUGACCCGACUCCAUUCGAGAGCGAGGUCCGACCGGACGUUAGAGAGGAAUCGAUUGGUCUACCAUCAAAGCAUAUUCAAGGCCCACAAAUCCAACGACCCAAUAUUCCUUUUUGACGUUUUGUAUUACCGCUGUCAGAAAAUCAAGAGAAUAUUCCCUGUGCAAUCUGUACGAAGGAAGCUUUUACCUGCAAAGCACAGAAAUGGUGAGUCUAUUUUAGGAAAGUUGUCAGAAUGCCAGAAUAGUCGGUCCUUUUUUGAAAAUGCAUUGAUAUUCGUACACAAAGGAAAACUAGCACUAUAUAAAGGGUCUCCUCCUAAAGGGCCGGGUACGCAAAAUUACACACUCGGAUCUCACUGCUCAUUUUUACUGUCUGUCGCACUCCAUUAUUCUCUCGAUCAUUUGUCUGAUUUGAGAGUCGGAGUGUCUGGCCCGGUUGCUGACGUUCUCUUACCUCUAUAUUCUUUUUGACAUGCAAGACCGCUUGGCGUCACCUUCCUCUAGCUCAAAGUCUUUUCACGGUCAACAUCAAAGCCACCUAGCCGACUGUCCAUCUUUCCCGUGUUCCGAUAGGAUCAAUCCUUUAUUAGGAUCUCUAAUUUUUUGCGCAUAGAUUAAUCUAAUGCAAGCAAUGAUGUCAUUGUGUGCAUGAACUUCGAGAUGGCGCUCUGCUGCUGUCAAGUUGCGUCAAUAUAAUCUGAAAUUCCUGAGGCGGGCCUCUACUGUUUCUAAUUGUUCCUCAACUAUGUAGAUUUCAGUCCUCUUGGCAUGAUUGCUGCUGAUUGUGUUAUGAACCAAUUGGAAACCAACACGACAUGGAUCAUUCUUGUCAGCUACCGAACAAGUACACACACUGAACAAUAGGUGACUGAAACAAUAUCCAUGUCUUUUUGUUUGAUGUAUCAUUUUGUUCCUCUGCAGGCAGCCAUGUUCAAAGGGAAAUCAUUCUCCUGCAAAAACCAUGUGAGAUGUUCCGUUCAGACUGAUUAUAUGACUGCCUUGGACCUUAGUGGGUUCUGGAUUCUUACUAGUAUUGUCCUUGCAACUUAUGGCAAUUCUGCAUUGUUGUACUCAGAACUCUAUAUGAAAAGGAAAGAACACUGAAAGCAUGCAAAUUAAAUGGUAGUCUUUUUAGGGGGCAGUGUUGAAUGGUGUUGCAUGUGAUGGUCACUAGCUAGAUCAUUCUCAUUUCCUUGGUUAUGGAUUUAUCGUACUAUGUUGGUGGAGGUCAUCAGACUAGUGCAUAGACAAAGGUGCUAAGGAGGACUUCAUUGUUUCAUGGAGAAAGUGGUAGAUGGAUUAAGAGAAAUAAUAAAAAGGUGCAGAUUGAUGCUAACAGCAUUUUUUCUUUCAAACAUACUGAUGAAACUAUAGAAGUUAUCAGAUUGCAAAGGUAUGUGUCAAUCUGAGUAAAAACAUACUGGCUUCAUGUUUAUUGAUCAUGAUUUUCUCGUGUCCCUUUGAUCUAAAAUACACGGACUUGACAAGCACAAAGUUUCAGUCUCAAUUUGUUUGAAGGUUUAAGGACAUCUGUAUCAGACAUAGUUCAUCAGGAACCAUGGUUAGCAAUGGUCCUCUCUUCCUGAUAAAAGUUGCAUGAAUGGUGGAAGUUAUGAUGACUGGUGCCAUUGAAUUCUCAAAAGGAUAAGUGCGAAGGGGAUGGAAAAACCAACUAAAACAGCAGGAAUGCUAGGAUUCAGGCUUUUUCUCCACUGCAAUGAAUGAAAUAAUUCUAAAACGCAUAAAAAACCAAAAUUUCUCAUGAGAAUUGUGUUUUUUUUAAAGUAAUAUCCAGUCAACAUGCUAAGGACAAGGAAGAGUGCCCUAUGGCGAAAAUUUUCAAGAUUUCAACUGAUUUGACUAAAACUGCUGCAAAUCAGUGAGCUGACUUAUGUGGUGAUUGUGUUGAUUGAUUAAUGCACUUCUACAUAAACCUCAUUGUUGUUCCCACAAUAUAGUGAGUAAACAAAAUUUCAAGAUCUCAUCUGAUUUGACUAAAACUGGAAUGAACCAGUGAGUUGACUUUUGGUGACGGUCCUGAUUGAUUAAUGCACUUCUGUUUGGUGGGUGGUGAGCACUCUCUUCCACAUAAAUCUCAUUGUUCUUCAAGUUUGAAUCCUUACCCGGUAUAGUGAGUAAACAAAGGUAAGGCUUCUAUGUAUAUGGAUCAGUAUGGGACUAUUUCACUUUCGGCUCUGAUGAAGUGAUUGAAAUGUUUGGACUAAAUGGAUAAUUCAAUGCUGAUUGAUCUUCCUUUAAUUAGGUGCUUCUUCACUUGGAAUUGUGUAGGGCUUCUUGUGUUAGCUAUUCAUGGAUGACGAUGCAUUAAGACGCGUUGGAUUCUUUCAAUUGGUUGCUAAUGGGCAUCAUUGUAGAUAUUUCUUCCAUAUACUCAAGUGCUGAGAUCUAAGGAAAGUCAGAAAUUCAGAAAGUUUUCUCAGAUCAAUUUAUGCAAGGCUUUCCUCCACACUGUUCCCAUUAGUUCAAGCUUUUUGGAAGGAUCAGUUUCACUAUUUUCUAAAGUUGAAUGUGAUCAGUAACCUAGGCCAUCUACAAAGCCUUGGGGUGAAUGGAGUUAAUAUUGAUUUUCUUUUGCAUAUUUGCCAUCUGGUCAAAUUUGAUUUGCUUCUUUCUUUUUGAUGAAUUUUAUAAAGGUAGAGAGCUAUAUUACAUUCCUUGAACUUCUUGUACCUCUCAUUCAUUCCAAAGUUAGAGGAUGAUUGCAAGAGUUGUGUGGAUCAUUGCUCUUAAACACUUGUUAGUAAGGUAAUCUAUUAAUUUC
RNA transcript from Zingiber officinale, 13483 nucleotides. RefSeq lists it as uncharacterized. The transcript has 2 exons. Lineage: Eukaryota; Viridiplantae; Streptophyta; Magnoliopsida; Zingiberales; Zingiberaceae. The record is from RefSeq and is a predicted model, not a curated record.